This 253-nucleotide ribosomal RNA is filed under the name uncultured bacterium. RNAcentral's name for it is "partial 16S ribosomal RNA". It matches the Rfam family "Bacterial small subunit ribosomal RNA", at positions 524 to 776 of the family's 1533-position model. The record is from RNAcentral.
CACGUAGGGCGCAAGCGUUGUCCGGAAUCACUGGGCGUAAAGAGCUCGUAGGUGGUUUGUUACGUCCGCUGUGAAAUCCUAGGGCUUAACCCUGGGCCUGCAUUCGAUACGGGCAGACUAGAGUUCGGUAGGGGAGUCUGGAAUUCCUGGUGUAGCGGUGAAAUGCGCAGAUAUCAGGAGGAACACCGGUGGCGAAGGCGGGACUCUGGGCCGAUACUGACGCUGAGGAGCGAAAGCGUGGGGAGCAAACAGG